GAUGAAGAACGUAGUGAAAUGCGAUACUUGGUGUGAAUUGCAGAAUCCCGUGAACCAUCGAGUCUUUGAACGCAAGUUGCGCCCGAAGCCAUUAGGCCGCGGGCACGCCUGCCUGGGCGUCACACGUCGUUGCCCCCCCAUCUAAUCCUUCGGGAUUGCGGGGGGCGGAUGAUGGCCUCCCGUGCGCCUCGUCGCGCGGUUGGCAUAAAUGCCAAGUCCUCGGCGACGCACGCCACGACAAUCGGUGGUUGCGAAACCUCGGUUGCCCGUCGUGUGCGGUCGUCGCGCAUCGAGGGCUCGAAAAAAUUGCCGGGCUCCGGCUCGACUUUCAACGCGACCCCAGGUCAGGCGGGGUUACCCGCUGAAUUUAAGCAUAUCAAUAAGCGGAGGA
RNAcentral lists this unclassified non-coding RNA (391 nucleotides) under soil metagenome. RNAcentral's name for it is "partial contains 5.8S ribosomal RNA, internal transcribed spacer 2, and large subunit ribosomal RNA". The stretch from base 1 to 122 matches the Rfam family "5.8S ribosomal RNA", at positions 35 to 154 of the family's 154-position model. The record is from RNAcentral.